GUCACUCUCUUUGGCAAAGUGGAAGGCCACCGGGGAAGGGAAAAGUGCCUUAGAAGAGAUGCUUUAUACAUAAACCCCUGUGUGGCUUUUAACUAAUCAUUUAAGCCUAAACAAAAUUUCCUCCGGAAUGAACUUAAAGGAAAAAUAAGCCCUUUAAAACUUCCCUGCCUUUAAAGAACAGACACAGAUGUUCCAAUUGUUUUUAUAAAUACACUGAGAAGGAGGUUGAAAGAAAUAUCACAAUAAAAAAAGCCUACCAAAAUGCAAGCCUGUGUUCCAGAGUUUGACCCGGCUAUUACAGACA
RNAcentral lists this long non-coding RNA (304 nucleotides) under Bos taurus (domestic cattle). RNAcentral describes it as "long non-coding RNA NONBTAT019820". Lineage: Eukaryota; Metazoa; Chordata; Mammalia; Artiodactyla; Bovidae. The record is from RNAcentral.